RNAcentral lists this ribosomal RNA (1281 nucleotides) under uncultured bacterium. Its description in RNAcentral is "partial 16S ribosomal RNA". It matches the Rfam family "Bacterial small subunit ribosomal RNA", at positions 43 to 1312 of the family's 1533-position model. The record is from RNAcentral.
CGUGUUUAAUGACAUGCAAGUCGCACGGAGGAUAUUUUAUAGCAAUAUACGAUAUUCUUAGUGGCGCACGGGUGAGUAACACGUGAAUGACAUGCCCUAUAGAGGGGGAUAGCCCAGGGAAACUUGGAUUAAUACCCCAUAGUAUCGCGAGAUUAAAGGUGGCCGCAGGGCUGUCGCUAUAAGAUUGGUUCGCGUUCUAUCAGCUUGUUGGUGAGGUAAUGGCUCACCAAGGCGACCACAGAUACCUGGUCUGAGAGGACGAUCAGGCACACUGGAACUGAGACACGGUCCAGACACCUACGGGUGGCAGCAGUCGAGAAUAAUUCACAAUGGGGGCAACCCUGAUGGUGCAACGCCGCGUGGAGGAUGACGGUCUUCAGAUUGUAAACUCCUGUCAUCUGGGAGUAAGGCAUGGGUGUUAAUAGCACACAUGAUUGAUAGUACCAGAAGAGGAAGGGACGGCUAACUUCGUGCCACAGCCGCGGUAAUACGAAGGUCCCGAGCGUUGUUCGGAAUCACUGGGCGUAAAGGGAGCGUACGCGGCGUGGUAAGUCAGAUGUGAAAUCCCGGGGCUCAACCCCGGAACUGCAUCCUAUACUGCCGUGCUAGAGAGCUGGAGAGGCAACUGGAAUUCUCUGUGUAGCAGUGAAAUGCGUGGAUAUCGAGAGGGAAGACCAAUGGCGAAAGCAAGUUGCUGGACAGUAUCUGACGCUGAGGCUCGAAUGCUAGGGGGAGCGAAAGGGAUUAGAUACCCCCUGUACUCCUAGCAGUAAACGGUGUGCUCUUGGUGUGAGAGGGAGUAGACCCCCCCUGUGCGGGAGAUAACGCGUUAAGAGCACCCCGCGUGAAGUACGGUGUCAAGAGUAUAACUCUAAGAGAAUUGACGGGGACCCGCACACGCGCUGGAGUAUGUGUGUUAUUUCGAUGCAACGCGAAGAGCAUCACCUAGGCUUGACAUGCAUAUCUAAGCGCGUGAAAGCGCGUGACCCCUCGGGGGAUAUGCACAGAUGUUGCAUAUCCGUGUUCAGCUCGUGUGUUGAGAGAUUGGGUUAAGUCUCCCAACGAGAGCAACCCCUGUGUUUAGUUUCCACCACGUAAAGGUGGGAAAUCUAGACAGACUCCCCCGAUCUAAUGGGAGGAAGGGGGGGGGGAGGUCAGGUCUGUAUGGCCCCUACGCCUAGGGGUGCACACGUACUACAAUGCCCAGUACAAUGAGAGCCGAGACCGCGAGGUGGAGGAAAUAAUUAAAAAAGGGGUCAGUUGUGAUUAGAGGAGGCAACU